AAACAUGAGGUGGCCCUUACAAUGAACCAUUACGUGUCGGGCAACACGUAUGGCUUUCAUGCAAAUAAAAUCAAAACAGAAAUCAUUACUCUUCCGAAUGAGUAACAGUGAUGAUCUUUUUUAGGCCUUCCAGUUCUGGAUUCCCAUCCCUGGUGCGCACGGCUUUAUCCAACCAUCAAACUUGCAGUUACCAUCAGUCUCUUC
RNAcentral lists this long non-coding RNA (204 nucleotides) under Lathyrus oleraceus (garden pea). RNAcentral describes it as "Pisum sativum (pea) long non-coding RNA (PSAT_LNC015676)". The record is from RNAcentral. Lineage: Eukaryota; Viridiplantae; Streptophyta; Magnoliopsida; Fabales; Fabaceae.